This 965-nucleotide ribosomal RNA is filed under the name Bacteroidetes bacterium endosymbiont of Coelostomidia wairoensis. RNAcentral's name for it is "bacterial SSU rRNA". It matches the Rfam family "Bacterial small subunit ribosomal RNA", at positions 498 to 1471 of the family's 1533-position model. The record is from RNAcentral. Lineage: Bacteria; Pseudomonadati; Bacteroidota.
UAACUCCGUGCCAGCAGCCGCGGUAAUACGGAGGACACAAGCGUUAUCCGGAUUUAUUGGGUUUAAAGGGUGCGUAGGCGGUUUGUUAAGUCAGUAGUGAAAUCUUACAGCUCAACUGUAAAAUUGCUAUUGAUACUAGCAACCUUGAGUAAGAUUGGAGCAAUUGGAAUGUGUGGUGUAGCGGUGAAAUGCAUAGAUAUCACACGGAACACCGAUCGCGAAGGCAGAUUGCUAAGUCUUUACUGACGCUGAGGCACGAAAGCGUGGGUAGCAAACAGGAUUAGAUACCCUGGUAGUCCACGCUGUAAACGAUGAUCACUAGCUGUUGGAUUGUUUUUUUUAUUCAGUGGCCAAUCGAAAGAGAUAAGUGAUCCACCUGGGGAGUACGAUCGCAAGAUUGAAACUCAAAGGAAUUGACGGGGGCCCGCACAAGCGGUGGAGCACGUGGUUUAAUUCGAUAAUACGCGAGGAACCUUACCAAGGCUUAAAUGUACCACGAAUAGGCUGGAAACAGCUUAGUUUUCGGACGGGGUACAAGGUGCUGCAUGGUUGUCGUCAGCUCGUGCCGUGAGGUGUUGGGUUAAGUCCUGCAACGAGCGCAACCCCUAUUGUUAGUUGCCAACGGAUGAUGCCGGGAACUCUAACAAAACUGCCGAUGCAAAUCGAGAGGAAGGUGGGGAUGACGUCAAAUCAUCAUGGCCCUUACGUCUUGGGCCACACACGUGCUACAAUGGCCGGUACAGAGGGAAGCCACUGGGUGACUAGAAGCGAAUCUCUAAAACCGGUCUCAGUUCGGAUUGGAGUCUGCAACUCGACUCUAUGAAGCUGGAAUCGCUAGUAAUCGGGAAACAGCCAUGACGCGGUGAAUACGUUCCUGGGCCUUGUACACACCGCCCGUCAAGCCAUGGAAGUCGGAGGUAUCUGAAGUCAGUGACCGUUAAAGGAGCUGCCUAGGGUAAAAUCGG